AUACGUAGGGGGCAAGCGUUAUCCGGAUUUACUGGGUGUAAAGGGAGCGUAGGCGGCAAGGCAAGUCUGAUGUGAAAACCCGGGGCUCAACCCCGGGACUGCAUUGGAAACUGCUUAGCUAGAGUGUCGGAGAGGUAAGUGGAAUUCCUAGUGUAGCGGUGAAAUGCGUAGAUAUUAGGAGGAACACCAGUGGCGAAGGCGCUUCUCUGGACUGUAACUGACGCUGAGGCUCGAAAGCGGUGGG
Molecule: ribosomal RNA, 244 nt
Filed under: uncultured bacterium
Lineage: Bacteria
Description: partial 16S ribosomal RNA
Rfam family: Bacterial small subunit ribosomal RNA
Source: RNAcentral